Molecule: long non-coding RNA, 320 nt
Organism: Arabidopsis thaliana (thale cress)
Lineage: Eukaryota; Viridiplantae; Streptophyta; Magnoliopsida; Brassicales; Brassicaceae
Product: other RNA
Exons: 1
Source: RefSeq
GGAGAGAAUCAAAAAGAGAAAAAGCAAAGCCAAAGGCUUCAUUCAUUUCUUUUGUUUUUAUUUUAUUCAGUUCUUUUAGUUUUUAAUCACUUUAUUGUUAAAAUGGGAUUAAUGUGAUGUUUGGCUGCCAAGAAAAGAGUCUUCCUUCACCAACUUGCUACAAAAUUAUGAUGGUAAAUUGAUUAUUAAAAAAUUUGUUGCUAAUUGAUGGCUAAUGUAUAGAUAUUCUUAUGUUUUAGAAAUAUUGUAAUGUCUUGUUGAUAUCAAACCCAUCAAUUUUAACUUAUAGAGAGAGAAUAGACGAGAUGAGUAGUCUCUAU